Molecule: ribosomal RNA, 1241 nt
Filed under: Listeria monocytogenes
Lineage: Bacteria; Bacillati; Bacillota; Bacilli; Caryophanales; Listeriaceae
Description: partial 23S ribosomal RNA
Rfam family: Bacterial large subunit ribosomal RNA
Source: RNAcentral
GCUUUCCCUCCAGAGUGGAUCCUGAGUACGGCGGAACACGUGAAAUUCCGUCGGAAUCCGGGAGGACCAUCUCCCAAGGCUAAAUACUCCCUAGUGACCGAUAGUGAACCAGUACCGUGAGGGAAAGGUGAAAAGCACCCCGGAAGGGGAGUGAAACAGUUCCUGAAACCGUGUGCCUACAAGUAGUUAGAGCCCGUUAAUGGGUGAUAGCGUGCCUUUUGUAGAAUGAACCGGCGAGUUACGAUUUGUUGCAAGGUUAAGCGGAAAAAGCGGAGCCGUAGCGAAAGCGAGUCUGAAUAGGGCGCAUAAGUAACAGGUCGUAGACCCGAAACCAGGUGAUCUACCCAUGUCCAGGAUGAAGGUAAGGUAAUACUUACUGGAGGUCCGAACCCACGCACGUUGAAAAGUGCGGGGAUGAGGUGUGGGUAGCGGAGAAAUUCCAAUCGAACUUGGAGAUAGCUGGUUCUCUCCGAAAUAGCUUUAGGGCUAGCCUCGAGGUAAAGAGUCAUGGAGGUAGAGCACUGUUUGGACUAGGGGCCCUUCUCGGGUUACCGAAUUCAGAUAAACUCCGAAUGCCAUGUACUUAUACUCGGGAGUCAGACUGCGAGUGAUAAGAUCCGUAGUCGAAAGGGAAACAGCCCAGACCACCAGUUAAGGUCCCCAAAUAUAUGUUAAGUGGAAAAGGAUGUGGGGUUGCUUAGACAACCAGGAUGUUGGCUUAGAAGCAGCCACCAUUGAAAGAGUGCGUAAUAGCUCACUGGUCGAGUGACCCCGCGCCGAAAAUGUACCGGGGCUAAACAUAUUACCGAAACUGUGGAUGAACCUCUUUAGAGGUUCGUGGUAGGAGAGCGUUCUAAGGGCGGUGAAGUCAGACCGGAAGGACUGGUGGAGCGCUUAGAAGUGAGAAUGCCGGUAUGAGUAGCGAAAGAAGGGUGAGAAUCCCUUCCACCGAAUAUCUAAGGUUUCCUGAGGAAGGCUCGUCCGCUCAGGGUUAGUCGGGACCUAAGCCGAGGCCGAUAGGCGUAGGCGAUGGACAACAGGUAGAGAUUCCUGUACCAGUGCUAAUUGUUUAACCGAUGGGGUGACACAGAAGGAUAGGGAAUCGCACGAAUGGAAAUGUGCGUCCAAGCAGUGAGUGUGAGAAGUAGGCAAAUCCGCUUCUCGCGAAGCAUGAGCUGUGAUGGGGAAGGAAAUUAAGUACGGAAGUUCCUGAUUUCACGCUGUCAAGAAAAGCCUCUAGG